Molecule: long non-coding RNA, 1431 nt
Organism: Haplochromis burtoni (Burton's mouthbrooder)
Lineage: Eukaryota; Metazoa; Chordata; Actinopteri; Cichliformes; Cichlidae
Exons: 3
Source: RefSeq, a predicted model, not a curated record
AAACGGGGAUAGUCCUGGGGACUUUCCUUAUCAUGUUUGCUUUUUUUAGGAUAGCCAGGUGUUAUGCAGUAAUUCUACAUCAGGUGGCAGUAUUGAGAUGAUGAGGAGUUUUAUUGAAAUACCAGCAGAAUUUAAUUGUGUGUACAAAUCAUAACAGAAUCUAUAUUAAACAUAUUUAAUUUCAAGCUCUGGACACGUAAUACGUUGUUAGUUUAGCUGCUGCUACAGUUCUCCAUAAGUCUUUCACAGAAAUGGCUUCAGGCAUAGGUUGUCCAAGAAGCCACAAAUUGUACUUAAAAUGUGUUUCACUGGGCUUUUUCUUUACUUCUUAAAAACUCUGGAAAAACUAAUCUUUGGCGUUUAACAUCUGCUGUGGUCAAAUGAGGUCUCUCACCUCAAACGACUCAGCCAUAGAUACUGUAACUAUUUCUGCCCUUCUUCAAUAUCAGGCUUAAAUUACAAAUAUCUCACAGCAGGAAUGAAACCCAUCAAGCCUGUAAUCUGAAGCAGCAACGAAUGAUCAUAGGACGUCUUCUGAAAUGUACAUUUCAGAAAAUCCUGUGAAAUGGGUUUAGGCCACAGAGAUAUUUUGCCUUCUGUGUGCAGAAGAGUGCACAUAUUGAAUCAAUAUCUAGGCCUGGGAGCAGAAGGUCGCUCUUUGGUGCUGCAGCAGAAAUAGAAGUGACCCUUGUUUCCUGUCGCUCUGUCCUCUGCCAGUCAGGCGGAAGUCAUUGUGGGUUCACGCCGUCGGUGAGCCUAAUCAGGGCGGUCAGCAUUUAAGCCAGGAGGUGACUGCUGUUCUUCGCUGGAUUGUUGUCUGCCAGGCACCUCCUGGAUUCCCUCCCCGUGCGAUUCUUUGUGUCAAGUGUGGAAGAGUGAACCUGUGGCUGUGAGUGUGGAGAGUUGGAGAAUGCGUGACUACUCCCGUGGAUUUCCCCGGAGCCCCGUCCCUCACCUAAUUGUAUAUAGCACUGCCCCGCACUUCCCAUAAAUACACAAUGUGGAUUCUGCAAAUAAAUUAUUGUGUACAGCUGAUUCUGGAGUCCUGCGCUUGAGCCCUCACCAUCGAACUGUAACAAGUUAGCUUUUUUGUCCAGCAUUCAUCUAUAAAGACAAUAAGAAAAAACCAAAUAGAUGUGAUAUGCUUGGGAAACUGUUUUCUAACUGAAGCUGGUUGCAUGCUGGCUGAAUAUCUUUUCUUGUAACGUUAAACUUUAAGUGAAAAUUAAACUGCACGAUCCCCACCUUAAUUGUUAAUAUUCUCCAUAGAUACUAAAGACCCGGUGUAGGAAUGAAUGCAUGCAGUCGAUCUGUUAAAAUAAGGAGUUAUAUUAACCCAGAGCCUUGUGCUGCAUUAGCUGUACGAGAAUGUAAAAUGUAAAGGCAGAAGAAACCAUUUCUUCUAAUGGCUCAUCUGUAGUCUUGAUGAUU